GGUGAACGCUGGUGGCAGGCCUAACACAUGCAAGUCGAACGCUGUAGCAAUACAGAGUGGCAGACGGGUGAGUAAUGCGUGGGAACCUUCCCAGUGGUACGGAAUAGCUCAGGGAAACUUGAGGUAAUACCGUAUAAGCCCCUAGGGGGAAAGAUUUAUCGCCAUUGGAUGGGCCCGCGUCGGAUUAGCUAGUUGGUGAGGUAAUGGCUCACCAAGGCAACGAUCCGUAGCUGGUUUGAGUGAAUGACCAGCCACACUGGGACUGAGACACGGCCCAGACUCCUACGGGAGGCAGCAGUGGGGAAUAUUGGACAAUGGGCGCAAGCCUGAUCCAGCCAUGCCGCGUGAGUGACGAAGGCCUUAGGGUUGUAAAGCUCUUUUGCCGGGGACGAUAAUGACGGUACCCGGAGAAUAAGUCCCGGCUAACUUCGUGCCAGCCGCCGCAGUAA
RNAcentral lists this ribosomal RNA (449 nucleotides) under uncultured bacterium. Its description in RNAcentral is "partial 16S ribosomal RNA". It matches the Rfam family "Bacterial small subunit ribosomal RNA", at positions 28 to 523 of the family's 1533-position model. The record is from RNAcentral.